CCUACGGGUGGCAGCAGUGGGGAAUAUUGCAUAAUGGGGGAAACCCUGAUGCAGCGACGCCGCGUGAGGGAAGACGUAUCUCGGGACGUAAAGCUCCAUCAGCAGGGGAGAAAAUGACGGUACCUGACUACGACGCCCCGGCUACCUACGGGCCAGCAGCCGCGGUAAUACGGAGGGGGCAAGCGUUAUCCGGAUUUACUGGGUGUAAAGGGAGCGUAGACGGCAGCACAAGUCUGGAGUGAAAUCCCGGGGCUUAACCCCGGAACUGCUGUGGAAACUGUGGGGCUGGAGUGCAGGAGGGGUAAGCGGAAUUCGUGGUGUAGCGGUGAAAUGCGUAGAUAUUAGGAAGAACACCGGUGGCGAAGGCAGCUUACUGGAGUGUAACUGACGUUGAGGCUCGAAAGCGUGGGGAGCAAACAGGAUUAGAUACCCCAGUAGUC
This 440-nucleotide ribosomal RNA is filed under the name uncultured bacterium. RNAcentral describes it as "partial 16S ribosomal RNA". It matches the Rfam family "Bacterial small subunit ribosomal RNA", at positions 338 to 795 of the family's 1533-position model. The record is from RNAcentral.